AAGUGUUUAUUUCCUUCCCAGCCAAAAUAGCUCACCACCUCUAUACCCUCACGUGCUGGCCACAUGUUGCUAGCUUUCAAGCUAACCCUGCCCUGAAACCUAUGCCCCUUUCCACACUCUCCUGCAAUAUGGAGACACAUUGCCUCCCAUGAAACUUUACUACCCUACCCAGCUUCACGUUCAUCCACUCUGACAGGUUCUCCAAAGCAACCUAUAACUUUUCAUCUGAAGCAAACAAAAAAAGUACAAGGGUAAUCCCUUGCUGCCUACAUUAUAUGAAUACACCAUGCAGGUUCUGUGACAGCAAUGGUGAUUUAUGUAGACUACGGGCUAAUCAGUGAACUACAAGACAUUGAAAGAUAUGGGAGUAAGGCGAGUCGGGGGAGGAGAUGUAAAGUGGUUUCCAGACAACAAACAGAUGCCACCAAGCGGAGUUCAAGCAGGAACAAUCUACAAUAGGUCCAUAGAUCAUUCUCGGGUAACAUAACAAAACUAGAUAACCUAUAUAUGUCUACAUCAAAGUUAAUAUAUCCAUUAUCCUGCACAGAACAAGUGAAGAUUUAAAAUAAACAGCAGAAAGUUUCCAAUAUGUUCAACAAGGCAUACAUAAAAAUCAGUAAUUAAGACUAAUGUAGGCAGAUAUGAAGAUCUCGCAACUACACGAACAAAAAAUAUCAAACCUUGCAAACCAAGUAGCGUCUCCAUUCACUGUACUGAAAGAAACAAUUCAUUCUAUUCGCACCAGGUUGAUAAAAGACAAUGCCACAAGGUUAAUAAUAAAAGAAAAUAGAACAACCGGUAUUCUGAUAAAGACGGUAGAACCUGAAACGAUUGCCAAUAAAUUCAAAUUUAUCAUCAAGAGUGACUCAUACUCCAUGCAUGCUGCUCAUUAGACAUUAAUCCAACCUAGAGACCAAGGCAUUCAUACAUGCACAUAGUACUAGAUUUUUUAUCUGCCUCAGAACAUAAAUUAAACGUAACUUUAUCCACUUCUCCUUGUAUACACGGUAGCAUCAAAACUUUUUUCCUCAUCAUUGCAGAUUAAUAUUCACACUACAAUAAAAGCUUUGAUAAAUUGGAUUUGAAUGUCCCUAGAACUUCAAUAAAAUGAACCUCACACAAUUAAAUGACUAAACGAAGUUUUAUUUUUCUGGAAAAUGAGAUUUUAGAUAAGGACAAAACCUUUUCUCCCUUGGUCAAGUCCAUCGAUGAGCCAUCAGAAGCAGGCACCAUUCACCAAGAUAAAUGACUAGAAAAAUGGUAACACUAUAGUUUCCAUAAAUCAAGUUUGCAAAUGAAAAAGUAAUAAUUGACAGUAGAACAUGUAAUGGAAGUGUAAUUGAUGCAGGUGCUACUACUAUUAUGUUAUUUUAUUAAUUCAAUCUCAUUUAUUAAUUAUUAGACAUAUAGAUCGAUGGCUAAGAUCAUAAGAUAUCAUUAAAGUUCAAAUCUAGGUCUCGGAUUAAAGCUUUAUUUGUAACCCUACGUCCAACAUGAUAAUUCUGGAGAAUUUCUAGAGCUGUCAGGCAUGCCUCCAAAGUCUUCAAUGGAGAACUAACAUGAAUUGUGAAUGAAGGUUUUAUUUUCAAUUACAAACAAGCACUUCUAGCUUUGCUUAUCUGCAUCACCUAAACAAGUUAAUUUCAUUGUACUAAGUCUUUGUUUUCACUUAAUUCAAUAUACAAACAAGUUAAAUCUCAAAGCUCCAAGAUGAAAACGUCGAAAAUAUAUAAUCUAAUCUCAGAAGUAUCAAAGAUGAAUGGACUAAAUUUUCCACUAUUAUAACUUGCAGAUAUCUUGCAGUCUCAAGGAAGAAUGAUCGUGGAUUUACAUCCCGCUAAAUUUCCCAAGGCUAGGUGAUGCAAUUGAAAAUGCAAAGAUCUGAAAAGUGCUGAGUCAGAGCUUUUGAGGCAACAUGAAGUUCGCAAAUCUAGCACAAUUACUAGACCAUGAACAUGACUAAACAAUCUAAAAUAACGCUGUAUUUUCU
Molecule: long non-coding RNA, 1990 nt
Filed under: Gossypium barbadense (sea-island cotton)
Lineage: Eukaryota; Viridiplantae; Streptophyta; Magnoliopsida; Malvales; Malvaceae
Description: long non-coding RNA (GBAR_LNC003574)
Source: RNAcentral